AGUGAACGCUGGCGGUAGGCCUAACACAUGCAAGUCGAACGGCAGCACAGUAAGAGCUUGCUCUUACGGGUGGCGAGUGGCGGACGGGUGAGGAAUACAUCGGAAUCUACUUUUUCGUGGGGGAUAACGUAGGGAAACUUACGCUAAUACCGCAUACGACCUACGGGUGAAAGCAGGGGAUCUUCGGACCUUGCGCGAUUGAAUGAGCCGAUGUCGGAUUAGCUAGUUGGCGGGGUAAAGGCCCACCAAGGCGACGAUCCGUAGCUGGUCUGAGAGGAUGAUCAGCCACACUGGAACGGAGACACGGUCCAGACUCCUACGGGAGGCAGCAGUGGGGAAUAUUGGACAAUGGGCGCAAGCCUGAUCCAGCCAUACCGCGUGGGUGAAGAAGGCCUUCGGGUUGGAAAGCCCUUUUGUUGGGAAAGAAAAGCAGCAGGUUAAUACCCCGCUGUUCUGACGGUACCCAAAGAAUAAGCACCGGCUAACUUCGUG
RNAcentral lists this ribosomal RNA (492 nucleotides) under uncultured bacterium. Its description in RNAcentral is "partial 16S ribosomal RNA". It matches the Rfam family "Bacterial small subunit ribosomal RNA", at positions 29 to 507 of the family's 1533-position model. The record is from RNAcentral.